Molecule: ribosomal RNA, 481 nt
Filed under: uncultured bacterium
Lineage: Bacteria
Description: bacterial SSU rRNA
Rfam family: Bacterial small subunit ribosomal RNA
Source: RNAcentral
CGGAUGAACGCUAGCGGGAGGCUUAACACAUGCAAGUCGAGGGGUAAAUGGUAGCAAUACUAUGAGACCGGCGGACGGGUGCGUAACGCGUAUGCAACAUACCUUGUGCAGGGGGAUAGCCCGUGGAAACGCGGAUUAAUAUUCCAUAGUCCAGCUAUAUCGCAUGGUAUAGUUGGUAAAGAUUUAUCGGCACAAGUUUGGCAUGCGUCUGAUUAGCUUGUUGGUAGGGUAACGGCCUACCAAGGCUACGAUCAGUAGGGGUUCUGAGAGGAUUAACCCCCACACUGGUACUGAGACACGGACCAGACUCCUACGGGAGGCAGCAGUGAGGAAUAUUGGUCAAUGGGCGGAAGCCUGAACCAGCCAUCCCGCGUGAAGGAAGACAGCCUUACGGGUUGUAAACUUCUUUUCUGUCAGAAGAAUAAGCUUGUCGAGACGAGUGAUGCCGGUAUGACAGGAAUAAGCAUCGGCUAACUCCGUG